CUCUGGCUCAGUAGAUGAACCAGGGCAAAGGAG
RNAcentral lists this non-coding RNA (33 nucleotides) under Levilactobacillus parabrevis ATCC 53295. Lineage: Bacteria; Bacillati; Bacillota; Bacilli; Lactobacillales; Lactobacillaceae. The record is from RNAcentral.